Molecule: ribosomal RNA, 443 nt
Filed under: uncultured bacterium
Lineage: Bacteria
Description: partial 16S ribosomal RNA
Rfam family: Bacterial small subunit ribosomal RNA
Source: RNAcentral
CCUACGGGUGGCAGCAGUGGGGAAUAUUGGGCAAUGGGCGCAAGCCUGACCCAGCAACGCCGCGUGAAGGAAGCAGGCUUUCGGGUUGUAAACUUCUUUUCUGAGGGACGAAGAAAGUGACGGUACCUCAGGAAUAAACCACGGCUAACUACGUGCCAGCAGCCGCGGUAAUCCGUAGGUGGCAAGCGUUAUCGGGAUUUAUUGGGGGUAAAGGGCGUGUAGGCGGGAAAGCAAGUCAGAUGUGAAAACUCAGGGCUCAACCCUGGGCCUGCAUUUGAAACUGUGUUACUUGAGUGCUGGAGAGGCAAUCGGAAUUCCGGGUGUAGCGGUGAAAUGCGUAGAUAUACGGAGGAACACCAGUGGCGAAGGCGGAUUGCUGGACAGUAACUGACGCUGAGGCGCGAAAGCGUGGGGAGCAAACAGGAUUAGAUACCCGAGUAGUC